GUACUGUGGCUGCCCAAGUCCUUAUGUUAAACCCACCGAUAUAAUCGUUGGAGUGCGGCGGAACUGCUCGGCUAGGGGAACGAGAUAGCACGACGGUAUUCCCGGGUAGGGGUGAAAUCCUAUAAUCCUGAGAAGACCAACCAGUGGGCAAAGGCUGUCUGCUAGAACAGCGAACCGACCGGUGAGGUGAUGAAAGCUGGGGGAGCGAACCGGAGAUAACCGGGUAGUCCUCAGCUGUAAACGAUGCAAAUUAGGUGUUUGGACGGCCACGUUCCGUUCUAGUGCCGCA
Molecule: ribosomal RNA, 289 nt
Filed under: uncultured archaeon SYA_2000_18
Lineage: Archaea
Description: partial 16S ribosomal RNA
Rfam family: Archaeal small subunit ribosomal RNA
Source: RNAcentral